Molecule: ribosomal RNA, 390 nt
Filed under: uncultured soil bacterium
Lineage: Bacteria
Description: bacterial SSU rRNA
Rfam family: Bacterial small subunit ribosomal RNA
Source: RNAcentral
AGAUUGAACGCUGGCGGCAGGCCUAACACAUGCAAGUCGAGCGGGGGUAGCAAUACCCUAGCGGCGAACGGGUGAGGAAUGCUUGGGAAUCUGCCUCGUAGUGGGGGAUAACGUUCCGAAAGGAACGCUAAUACCGCAUACGUCCUACGGGAGAAAGGGGGGGAUCUUCGGACCUCUCGCUAUGAGAUGAGCCCAAGCGGGAUUAGCUAGUUGGUGAGGUAAAGGCUCACCAAGGCGACGAUCCCUAGCUGGUCUGAGAGGAUGAUCAGCCACACUGGAACUGAGACACGGUCCAGGACUCCGUACGGGAGCAGCAGUGGGAAUAUGGACAAGUGGGGGAAACCUGAUCAGCCAUGCCGCGUGUGUAGAGAACGGUCGUUCGGUUAGUAA